GACGAACGCUGGCGGCGUGCUUAACACAUGCAAGUCGAACGGAAAGGCCCUGCUUUUGUGGCGUGCUCGAGUGGCGAACGGGUGAGUAACACGUGAGUAACCUGCCCUUGACUUUGGGAUAACUUCAGGAAACUGGGGCUAAUACCGGAUAGGAGCUCCUGCUGCAUGGUGGGGGUUGGAAAGUUUCGGCGGUUGGGGAUGGACUCGCGGCUUAUCAGCUGGUUGGUGGGGUAGUGGCUUACCAAGGCUUUGACGGGUAGCCGGCCUGAGGGGGUGACCGGCCACAUUGGGACUGAGAUACGGCCCAGACUCCUACGGGAGGCAGCAGUGGGGAAUAUUGCACAAUGGGCGGAAGCCUGAUGCAGCAACGCCGCGUGCGGGAUGACGGCCUUCGGGUUGUAACCCGCUUUCGCCUGUGACGAAGCGUGAGUGACGGUAAUGGGUAAAGAAGCACCGGCUAACUACGUG
Molecule: ribosomal RNA, 468 nt
Filed under: uncultured bacterium
Lineage: Bacteria
Description: partial 16S ribosomal RNA
Rfam family: Bacterial small subunit ribosomal RNA
Source: RNAcentral